GCCCCGGUAGCUCAGCCGGAUAGAGCGAUCGCCUCCUAAGCGAUAGGUCGCAGGUUCGAAUCCUGCCCGGGGCACCA
Molecule: transfer RNA, 77 nt
Filed under: Halorhodospira halochloris
Lineage: Bacteria; Pseudomonadati; Pseudomonadota; Gammaproteobacteria; Chromatiales; Ectothiorhodospiraceae
Description: tRNA-Arg
Rfam family: tRNA
About the family: Transfer RNA (tRNA) molecules are approximately 80 nucleotides in length. Their secondary structure includes four short double-helical elements and three loops (D, anti-codon, and T loops).
Source: RNAcentral